RNAcentral lists this ribosomal RNA (468 nucleotides) under uncultured bacterium. RNAcentral describes it as "partial 16S ribosomal RNA". It matches the Rfam family "Bacterial small subunit ribosomal RNA", at positions 28 to 507 of the family's 1533-position model. The record is from RNAcentral.
GACGAACGCUGGCGGCGUGCUUAACACAUGCAAGUCGAACGGAAAGGCCCUGCUUUUGUGGGGUGCUCGAGUGGCGAACGGGUGAGUAACACGUGAGUAACCUGCCCUUGACUUUGGGAUAACUUCAGGAAACUGGGGCUAAUACCGGAUAUGAUCUCCUGCUGCAUGGUGGGGGUUGGAAAGUUUCGGCGGUUGGGGAUGGACUCGCGGCUUAUCAGCUUGUUGGUGGGGUAGUGGCUUACCAAGGCUUUGACGGGUAGCCGGCCUGAGAGGGUGACCGGCCACAUUGGGACUGAGAUACGGCCCAGACUCCUACGGGAGGCAGCAGUGGGGAAUAUUGCACAAUGGGCGGAAGCCUGAUGCAGCAACGCCGCGUGCGGGAUGACGGCCUUCGGGUUGUAAACCGCUUUCGCCUGUGACGAAGCGUGAGUGACGGUAAUGGGUAAAGAAGCACCGGCUAACUACGUG